This 449-nucleotide ribosomal RNA is filed under the name uncultured prokaryote. Its description in RNAcentral is "bacterial SSU rRNA". It matches the Rfam family "Bacterial small subunit ribosomal RNA", at positions 355 to 796 of the family's 1533-position model. The record is from RNAcentral.
UGGGGAAUCUUCCGCAAUGGACGAAAGUCUGACGGAGCAACGCCGCGUGAGUGAUGAAGGUCUUCGGAUUGUAAAGCUCUGUUAAUCGGGACGAAAGAGUUCUGUGUGAAUAAUGCAGAAAAGUGACGGUACCGGAAUAGAAAGCCACGGCUAACUACGUGCCAGCAGCCGCGGUAAUACGUAGGUGGCAAGCGUUGUCCGGAAUUAUUGGGCGUAAAGCGCGCGCAGGCGGCCUAUCCAGUCUGUCUUAAAAGUUCGGGGCUCAACCCCGUGAUGGGAUGGAAACUAGUAGGCUAGAGUAUCGGAGAGGAAAGCGGAAUUCCUAGUGUAGCGGUGAAAUGCGUAGAUAUUAGGAAGAACACCAGUGGCGAAGGCGGCUUUCUGGACGAAAACUGACGCUGAGGCGCGAAAGCCAGGGGAGCGAACGGGAUUAGAUACCCCCGUAGUCC